AGCCAGAGUUGUCUCCAAGGUGCAGA
RNAcentral lists this non-coding RNA (26 nucleotides) under Homo sapiens (human). Lineage: Eukaryota; Metazoa; Chordata; Mammalia; Primates; Hominidae. The record is from RNAcentral.